UACGUAGGGUGCGAGCGUUAAUCGGAAUUACUGGGUGUAAAGGGUGCGCAGGCGGCGUCGCAAGUCAGGCGUGAAAUCCCCGGGCUUAACCUGGGAACUGCACUUGAAACUACGAUGCUGGAGUAUGGCAGAGGGAGGUGGAAUUCCACGUGUAGCGGUGAAAUGCGUAGAGAUGUGGAGGAACACCGAUGGCGAAGGCAGCCUCCUGGGCCAAUACUGACGCUCAUGCACGAAAGCGUGGGGAGCAAACAGG
This 253-nucleotide ribosomal RNA is filed under the name uncultured bacterium. RNAcentral's name for it is "partial 16S ribosomal RNA". It matches the Rfam family "Bacterial small subunit ribosomal RNA", at positions 524 to 776 of the family's 1533-position model. The record is from RNAcentral.